UACAGAGGUGGCAAGCGUUGUUCGGAAUUACUGGGCGUAAAGGGCGCGUAGGCGGUCUUUUAAGUUCCGUGUGAAAUCCCUCGGCUCAACUGGGGAACGGCACGGGAAACUGGGAGGCUUGAGUUCGGGAGAGGGAAGCGGAAUUCCGGGUGUAGCGGUGAAAUGCGUAGAUAUCCGGAGGAACACCGGUGGCGAAGGCGGCUUCCUGGACCGACACUGACGCUGAGGCGCGAAAGCUAGGGGAGCAAACGGGAUUAGAUACCCCGGUAGUCCUAGCUGUAAACGAUGAGUGCUGGGUGUAGGGGGUAUUCACCCCCCCUGUGCCGAAGCUAACGCAUUAAGCACUCCGCCUGGGGAGUACGGUCGCAAGGCUGAA
RNAcentral lists this ribosomal RNA (376 nucleotides) under uncultured bacterium. RNAcentral's name for it is "bacterial SSU rRNA". It matches the Rfam family "Bacterial small subunit ribosomal RNA", at positions 524 to 898 of the family's 1533-position model. The record is from RNAcentral.